ACACGACUACAUUAGAUACCCCCGUAGUCCUAGCCCUAAACGAUGCGCGUUAGGUGUAUCGGUGACCACGAGUCACCGAGGUGCCGAAGGAAACCGUGAAACGUGCCGCCUAGACGUCUACAUUAGAUACCCCGGUAGUCCCAGCCGUAAACUAUGCGCGUUAGGUGUAUCGGUGACCACGAGUCACCGAGGUGCCGAAGGGAAACCGUGAAACGUGCCGCCUGGGAAGUACGGUCGCAAGGCUGAAACUUAAAGGAAUUGGCGGGGAGCACCACAACGGGUGGAGCCUGCGGUUUAAUUGGACUCAACGCCGGGAAGCUCACCGGAUAAGACAGCGGAAUGAUUGCCGGGCUGAAGACUCUGCAUGACUAGCUG
Molecule: ribosomal RNA, 375 nt
Filed under: uncultured archaeon
Lineage: Archaea
Description: bacterial SSU rRNA
Rfam family: Archaeal small subunit ribosomal RNA
Source: RNAcentral